GUACCCAUGGUGUAGUGGGAUCACAUCCGCUUCACAUCGCGGAAGUUCCAGGUUCGAAACCUGGUGGGUACA
Molecule: non-coding RNA, 72 nt
Organism: Nephila pilipes (giant wood spider)
Lineage: Eukaryota; Metazoa; Arthropoda; Arachnida; Araneae; Nephilidae
Source: the annotation of a GenBank genome assembly